RNAcentral lists this ribosomal RNA (637 nucleotides) under Microbacterium sp. JDM-3-05. Its description in RNAcentral is "bacterial SSU rRNA". It matches the Rfam family "Bacterial small subunit ribosomal RNA", at positions 26 to 680 of the family's 1533-position model. Lineage: Bacteria; Bacillati; Actinomycetota; Actinomycetes; Micrococcales; Microbacteriaceae. The record is from RNAcentral.
GGGGGAUUGGCGGCGUGCUUACACAUGCAAGUCGAACGGUGAAGCCCAGCUUGCUGGGUGGAUCAGUGGCGAACGGGUGAGUAACACGUGAGCAAUCUGCCCCUGACUCUGGGAUAAGCGCUGGAAACGGCGUCUAAUACUGGAUAUGAGCUGCGAUCGCAUGGUCAGUAGCUGGAAAGAUUUUUUGGUCAGGGAUGAGCUCGCGGCCUAUCAGCUUGUUGGUGAGGUAAUGGCUCACCAAGGCGUCGACGGGUAGCCGGCCUGAGAGGGUGACCGGCCACACUGGGACUGAGACACGGCCCAGACUCCUACGGGAGGCAGCAGUGGGGAAUAUUGCACAAUGGGCGCAAGCCUGAUGCAGCAACGCCGCGUGAGGGAUGACGGCCUUCGGGUUGUAAACCUCUUUUAGCAGGGAAGAAGCGAAAGUGACGGUACCUGCAGAAAAAGCGCCGGCUAACUACGUGCCAGCAGCCGCGGUAAUACGUAGGGCGCAAGCGUUAUCCGGAAUUAUUGGGCGUAAAGAGCUCGUAGGCGGUUUGUCGCGUCUGCUGUGAAAUCCCGAGGCUCAACCUCGGGUCUGCAGUGGGUACGGGCAGACUAGAGUGCGGUAGGGGAGAUUGGAAUUCCUGGUGUAGCG